AGAGUUUGAUCAUGGCUCAGGACGAACGCUGGCGGCGUGCCUAACACAUGCAAGUCGAACGGGGUCCAAGGUGGGGUAACCCACCGGAAGACCGAGUGGCGAACGGGUGAGUAACACGUGAGCAAUCUGCCCCGAAGUCGGGGAUAACUCGGGGAAACCCGAGCUAAUACCGGAUACCUCCGCCGGGUCGCAUGGCCUGGCGAAGAAAGAAUUUCGCUUCGGGAGGGGCUCGCGGCCUAUCAGCUUGUUGGUGAGGUAACGGCUCACCAAGGCGACGACGGGUAGCUGGUCUGAGAGGACGAUCAGCCACACUGGGACUGAGACACGGCCCAGACUCCUACGGGAGGCAGCAGUGGGGAAUCUUGCGCAAUGGGCGAAAGCCUGACGCAGCAACGCCGCGUGCGGGAGGAAGGCCUUCGGGUUGUAAACCGCGUUCAGCAGGGACGAAGAUGACGGUACCUGCAGAAGAAGCCCCGGCUAACUACGUGCCAGCAGCCGCGGUAAUUC
This 507-nucleotide ribosomal RNA is filed under the name uncultured bacterium. RNAcentral describes it as "bacterial SSU rRNA". It matches the Rfam family "Bacterial small subunit ribosomal RNA", at positions 8 to 526 of the family's 1533-position model. The record is from RNAcentral.